Molecule: ribosomal RNA, 424 nt
Filed under: uncultured bacterium
Lineage: Bacteria
Description: partial 16S ribosomal RNA
Rfam family: Bacterial small subunit ribosomal RNA
Source: RNAcentral
AAUUUUGGACAAUGGGGGAAACCCUGAUCCAGCCAUCCCGCGUGUAUGAUGAAGGCCUUCGGGUUGUAAAGUACUUUUUGCAGAGAGGAAAAGGCAUCCGCUACUACGGGAUGCUGCUGACGGAAUCUGCAGAAUAAGCCCCGACCAACGACGUCCCAGCAGCCGCGGUCAUACGUAGGGUGGAAGCGUUAAUCGGAAGUACUGGGCGUAAGGCGGGGGUCGGCGGUUCGGAGGUAAAGAUGUGAAGACCCAGGGCUCAACCUUGGAACUGCAUUUUUAACUGCCGAACUGGAGGAUGACAGAGGAGGGUAGAAGACCACGUGUAGCAGUGAAGUGCGUAGAUGUGUGGAGAAAUACCGAUAGCGAAGGCGGCCACCUGGGAUAAUGCUGACGAUCAGACGCGGAGGCGUGGGGGGCAAACAGG